CCUACGGGAGGCUGCAGUGGGGAAUAUUGCGCAAUGGGCGAAAGCCUGACGCAGCGACGCCGCGUGAGGGAUGAAGGUCUUCGGAUCGUAAACCUCUGUCAGCAGGGAAGUACGGUCACUGUGCUAAUCAGCCGUGAAUUGACGGUACCUGCAAAGGAAGCACCGGCUAACGCCGUGCCAGCAGCCGCGGUAAUACGGAGGGUGCGAGCGUUAAUCGGAAUUACUGGGAGUAAAGCGCUCGUAGGCGGUAUGUCAAGUCAAGGGUGAAUUCCCUGCGCUCAACGUGGGAACUGCCUUAGAAACUGGCAAUCUGGAGUGUGGGAGAGGAGAGUGGAAUUCGAGGUGUAGGAGUGAAAUCCGUAGAUAUCUGGAGGAACAUCAGUGGCGAAGGCGACUAUCUGGAACAUAACUGACGCUGAGGAGCGAAAGCGUGGGUAGCAAACAGGAUUAGAGACCCCGGUAGUC
RNAcentral lists this ribosomal RNA (465 nucleotides) under uncultured bacterium. RNAcentral describes it as "partial 16S ribosomal RNA". It matches the Rfam family "Bacterial small subunit ribosomal RNA", at positions 338 to 795 of the family's 1533-position model. The record is from RNAcentral.